RNAcentral lists this transfer RNA (82 nucleotides) under Nonomuraea africana. RNAcentral describes it as "tRNA-Tyr". It matches the Rfam family "tRNA". Rfam says of the family: Transfer RNA (tRNA) molecules are approximately 80 nucleotides in length. Their secondary structure includes four short double-helical elements and three loops (D, anti-codon, and T loops). The record is from RNAcentral. RNAcentral also lists the same sequence under 26 other names. Lineage: Bacteria; Bacillati; Actinomycetota; Actinomycetes; Streptosporangiales; Streptosporangiaceae.
GGCAGGUUGCCCGAGUGGCCAAUGGGAGCGGACUGUAAAUCCGUCGGCUUAGCCUACCCAGGUUCGAACCCUGGACCUGCCA